RNAcentral lists this long non-coding RNA (265 nucleotides) under Ananas comosus (pineapple). RNAcentral describes it as "long non-coding RNA (ACOM_LNC028324)". The record is from RNAcentral. Lineage: Eukaryota; Viridiplantae; Streptophyta; Magnoliopsida; Poales; Bromeliaceae.
UAAGUUCAAUCUCUUAAUGAAUGAAGCGGUAGCAUGCUACCUUCCUCUCAAAAAAAAAAAAAAAAAAAAAAAAAAGCUUACACUUUUGUCUGCAUCCGUGCCUCCUUGCUAUAAUGUACCUGGAUUUUGGUUAAAUUGAUAAAGUACAGUUGAAUCAUUCUAGACAUGAUUAAAAUAGAUUUUGAGAGGUUUAGAAUAAGUUUGGAUCGAAUUAAAAUUAAUUUUGGAUCGAAAUAGUGCUUCAAAACUGAAAAUUUUGAGUUCU